GUUAGUGAAAUUGUAUUUAAAACUCGAGUUUGAUUCCCUUCUCUUGCAUCAUUUUUAUUAUUUUCCAAAUUUUGCUUCAAACCCUAGUAAGUGUCAUGACUUGUUUUAAAAUAAAUGUUUUGUUAACUGCAUUUUUGCCCAAAACCUAGGGUGUCGCCCCUUGCAUAGAAACCCUAAUAUAUAACAUAUUUUUUUGUUAUUUUUAGCCUCUUUUGAUCAUUUUUGCUCUCUUAUUGUCGCCCCUAUCAUUUUUUCCUCUCUUCCUCCUUACUUCUUAUUUGUGUCGUACCAUUGUUCAUAUUCUCCUCUUGUUUUUCUAUUUUUUGUUCAUCUCUUCUCCUAUCUCUUUGGUUGAAUUUUUGCUACUGAUUUUUCUUCUAUUGUCACACCCUUUUUUCCCACUUUUCUUUCAUUUUUGUUGCUGAAAUCAGCCUCCUAUCUUGGCCGACUGAAGUGUUCAUCCAUUUUCUAUUGAUUCGUUAUUCCAAAUCUAGAAACUUGGAGGUGUCUAGUUCUGAAUCCCUCAGAUCUCUAGUGAAGUUUGAGCCCAUUCAUAUUUUUGUCUAAUCAGUAGAAGUGUAAGUGAUCUCGAAAGCUCAGAUAUGAAGUUUGGGUUGUUUCUUUGAUUUAGCUGGACCCUAUAAGAUGGUUAAGGGUUGAAUUUUAAUGUUCGUUCUCUAUGCUGGGUACAUAUCUGGGAGGUGUCGAUUCAAAUCUAAAUUGUAGAGGUGUUCUGGACAAUUGUUAAUGCUUUUCGGAUGUGCAUUGAGGCGUGUGUCCUAUUCAUGAGUGAAUCAUGUGAUUUGGUGAUAAUCGAAUGCAUGUGUAUAUAAAUCAUGUUGAACCGAAUUUUUUUGUGUGUACCCUUAAGCUUUGUCGAAUGUAUAGUGUCCUCUGAAGUGGCCAAAUGUGAUGUGUGUUAAUUUGGGGUGCUUGCCGAAUGUAUUUAUGUUUAUUUUGUAGUCGGUCGAAUGUGCCUAAAGGUUUGUCUGCUAUGACUGAGUAUGUAUAGAAUACUAAUGUAUGAUAUGGAAUUGUUAUCACAUGUUUACUGAAUGCAUGAGGACAUGUUGUUGCUUCUGUGUCUAUUGAUUGCAUGACUGAAAGCAUGCCAUUGUUUUUUAUAUUUAUCGAAUGCAUGAAAGGAAUGCCACUGCCACUGAUUUAUUGAUCGCAUGUUAAAACAUGCCACGGUUCUGCAUUGUAUCUGAUUCUGUCAUGCAUGUUAUGACAUUCUAUUGCGUGGGGUUGGGAAGAUUGGUAACAGAGGAGUUCUACGGAGUUCUAGCAGUUUAUCCGCAAUAUAGGAGUUCUGGCGGUUCGUCCACAAACCUUUUACUAGUGAUUUAACUGUAAAUUACUGGCUACUGGUGGUUUGUCCACAAUGAGCUACGACUCUUACUAUUAUGGUGUGUACGGAUGGAUGAGUUCUAAAUAACUCAUGGUGUGUAACGGAUGGAUGGGGAGGAAAUUGCACUGACAUUCAUGGACAUGUACAUACAUUUUGAGAACUCUGUGAUUCUGUAUAUUCUGAAACACUGUGAUCUCUGACACUGUCAUUACUGUUAUCUUUGUUUACUUUCAUGCUUUUGUGAUCUUUGGUAUUCUGAUUUCUUAUGAAUAAGACUCACAUUGAGCUUUCAAGUUCA
This is a long non-coding RNA of Gossypium raimondii (Peruvian cotton), 1649 nucleotides long. RefSeq lists it as uncharacterized. Lineage: Eukaryota; Viridiplantae; Streptophyta; Magnoliopsida; Malvales; Malvaceae. The transcript is spliced from 2 exons. The record is from RefSeq and is a predicted model, not a curated record.